Molecule: ribosomal RNA, 503 nt
Filed under: uncultured bacterium
Lineage: Bacteria
Description: partial 16S ribosomal RNA
Rfam family: Bacterial small subunit ribosomal RNA
Source: RNAcentral
GAUGAACGCUAGCGAUAGGCCUAACACAUGCAAGUCGAGGGGCAGCAUAGAGUAGCAAUACUUUGAUGGCGACCGGCGCACGGGUGAGUAACACGUAUGCAACCUACCUACAUCAGGGGAAUAACCCGGAGAAAUUCGGACUAAUACCGCAUAAUACAGGGAUGCCGCAUGGCAAUAUUUGUUAAAGAUUUAUCGGAUGUAGAUGGGCAUGCGUUCCAUUAGCUAGUUGGUGAGGUAACGGCUCACCAAGGCAACGAUGGAUAGGGGAACUGAGAGGUUUGUCCCCCACACUGGAACUGGGACACGGACCAGACGCCUACGGGAGGCAGCAGUGAGGAAUAUUGGUCAAUGGACGAGAGUCUGAACCAGCCAAAUCGCGUGAAGGAAGACUGCCCUACGGGUUGUAAACUUCUUUUGUACAGGAAUAAAAGACAUUACGUGUAAUGUAUUGCAUGUACUGUACGAAUAAGCAUCGGCUAACUCCGUGCCAGCCGCCGCUGUAA